This 1544-nucleotide ribosomal RNA is filed under the name Klebsiella pneumoniae subsp. pneumoniae Kp13. RNAcentral's name for it is "bacterial SSU rRNA". It matches the Rfam family "Bacterial small subunit ribosomal RNA". Lineage: Bacteria; Pseudomonadati; Pseudomonadota; Gammaproteobacteria; Enterobacterales; Enterobacteriaceae. The record is from RNAcentral.
AAUUGAAGAGUUUGAUCAUGGCUCAGAUUGAACGCUGGCGGCAGGCCUAACACAUGCAAGUCGAGCGGUAGCACAGAGAGCUUGCUCUCGGGUGACGAGCGGCGGACGGGUGAGUAAUGUCUGGGAAACUGCCUGAUGGAGGGGGAUAACUACUGGAAACGGUAGCUAAUACCGCAUAAUGUCGCAAGACCAAAGUGGGGGACCUUCGGGCCUCAUGCCAUCAGAUGUGCCCAGAUGGGAUUAGCUAGUAGGUGGGGUAACGGCUCACCUAGGCGACGAUCCCUAGCUGGUCUGAGAGGAUGACCAGCCACACUGGAACUGAGACACGGUCCAGACUCCUACGGGAGGCAGCAGUGGGGAAUAUUGCACAAUGGGCGCAAGCCUGAUGCAGCCAUGCCGCGUGUGUGAAGAAGGCCUUCGGGUUGUAAAGCACUUUCAGCGGGGAGGAAGGCGGUGAGGUUAAUAACCUCAUCGAUUGACGUUACCCGCAGAAGAAGCACCGGCUAACUCCGUGCCAGCAGCCGCGGUAAUACGGAGGGUGCAAGCGUUAAUCGGAAUUACUGGGCGUAAAGCGCACGCAGGCGGUCUGUCAAGUCGGAUGUGAAAUCCCCGGGCUCAACCUGGGAACUGCAUUCGAAACUGGCAGGCUAGAGUCUUGUAGAGGGGGGUAGAAUUCCAGGUGUAGCGGUGAAAUGCGUAGAGAUCUGGAGGAAUACCGGUGGCGAAGGCGGCCCCCUGGACAAAGACUGACGCUCAGGUGCGAAAGCGUGGGGAGCAAACAGGAUUAGAUACCCUGGUAGUCCACGCCGUAAACGAUGUCGAUUUGGAGGUUGUGCCCUUGAGGCGUGGCUUCCGGAGCUAACGCGUUAAAUCGACCGCCUGGGGAGUACGGCCGCAAGGUUAAAACUCAAAUGAAUUGACGGGGGCCCGCACAAGCGGUGGAGCAUGUGGUUUAAUUCGAUGCAACGCGAAGAACCUUACCUGGUCUUGACAUCCACAGAACUUUCCAGAGAUGGAUUGGUGCCUUCGGGAACUGUGAGACAGGUGCUGCAUGGCUGUCGUCAGCUCGUGUUGUGAAAUGUUGGGUUAAGUCCCGCAACGAGCGCAACCCUUAUCCUUUGUUGCCAGCGGUCCGGCCGGGAACUCAAAGGAGACUGCCAGUGAUAAACUGGAGGAAGGUGGGGAUGACGUCAAGUCAUCAUGGCCCUUACGACCAGGGCUACACACGUGCUACAAUGGCAUAUACAAAGAGAAGCGACCUCGCGAGAGCAAGCGGACCUCAUAAAGUAUGUCGUAGUCCGGAUUGGAGUCUGCAACUCGACUCCAUGAAGUCGGAAUCGCUAGUAAUCGUAGAUCAGAAUGCUACGGUGAAUACGUUCCCGGGCCUUGUACACACCGCCCGUCACACCAUGGGAGUGGGUUGCAAAAGAAGUAGGUAGCUUAACCUUCGGGAGGGCGCUUACCACUUUGUGAUUCAUGACUGGGGUGAAGUCGUAACAAGGUAACCGUAGGGGAACCUGCGGUUGGAUCACCUCCUUACCUUA